This is a long non-coding RNA of Cyprinodon tularosa, 203 nucleotides long. RefSeq lists it as uncharacterized. The record is from RefSeq and is a predicted model, not a curated record. Lineage: Eukaryota; Metazoa; Chordata; Actinopteri; Cyprinodontiformes; Cyprinodontidae. The transcript has 3 exons.
AGACAUCACCCAGGAAGGAAAUAAGUGCUUUACUCAGCAAUGACAUGGAAGAAUGGGACCAAGGCCUGAAAAAAGUUUUGGACAGAGAGCUCAAGGCAAGUGACGAGAGGGAACUGAAAUUUGAAGAAGUAUUGAAGCCUCUGGAGGUUGAAUCAGACUUCGAAAGUAUUGUGGAUGUUUGGCUUCGGGGCGAAAGAACGGGA